UGAAGAGUUUGAUCAUGGCUCAGAUUGAACGCUGGCGGCAGGCCUAACACAUGCAAGUCGAACGGUAACAGGAAGCAGCUUGCUGCUUUGCUGACGAGUGGCGGACGGGUGAGUAAUGUCUGGGAAACUGCCUGAUGGAGGGGGAUAACUACUGGAAACGGUGGCUAAUACCGCAUAACGUCGCAAGACCAAAGAGGGGGACCUUCGGGCCUCUUGCCAUCAGAUGUGCCCAGAUGGGAUUAGCUUGUUGGUGAGGUAACGGCUCACCAAGGCGACGAUCCCUAGCUGGUCUGAGAGGAUGACCAGCCACACUGGAACUGAGACACGGUCCAGACUCCUACGGGAGGCAGCAGUGGGGAAUAUUGCACAAUGGGCGCAAGCCUGAUGCAGCCAUGCCGCGUGUAUGAAGAAGGCCUUCGGGUUGUAAAGUACUUUCAGCGGGGAGGAAGGUGUUGUGGUUAAUA
Molecule: ribosomal RNA, 464 nt
Filed under: Salmonella enterica subsp. enterica serovar Paratyphi A
Lineage: Bacteria; Pseudomonadati; Pseudomonadota; Gammaproteobacteria; Enterobacterales; Enterobacteriaceae
Also listed under: 1 other name
Description: bacterial SSU rRNA
Rfam family: Bacterial small subunit ribosomal RNA
Source: RNAcentral